Sycon ciliatum is the source of this 1569-nucleotide long non-coding RNA. RefSeq lists it as uncharacterized. NCBI's taxonomy places the organism in Eukaryota, Metazoa, Porifera, Calcarea, Leucosolenida, Sycettidae. The transcript is spliced from 2 exons. The record is from RefSeq and is a predicted model, not a curated record.
UGCAGCGUGAAUCACUUUCAAUGUAUUGGUCACGCGUGUUCCACCGCACCCGUACCCCGCACUUGCAACUCUGUACCGUGCUUGCAGAUCCAUGACAUGGAUAUCAACUAGUCUCACCGCGUUCAAUGUUUCAUAUUGACCUUAGAAAUACUAGUCUAGACCUUUUGCUGCACUUUCAACCACCUCUUUACACCCAUUGCCCAUACUGCUAUUCAGCUCCUUCUGCAUAGAAUCAAAUGGCAUUCCUUGUGCAAUGACUGUAGCCCACACAUCUACUUUGACCUUUCUUCUUCUCUCUGCUGAGCUUUGCCGUGACCAUUGCUGUUGCAGCACGUAUGCUGUCUGCCUAUAAACGCUGCUGUUCACAAUUCUCUACAGUUCAGUUAGAAACUACAGUUAGAAAGGCCAGUUAGAAAUGCCAGUUAGAGAUACCAGUUAGAACCUUCAGUAAUGUCAGUUUAGAGUUAGAGUCAGAGUUAAUGUUUACAAUGUAGUCUUCCGUUUAGUUCAGUAAUAAUUUUAAAGCAGUGUGUUCACUGAGACCCGUCUGCAUUUGCCUCCGAGAGAGACUGCGGCCCGUUACAGAAUUGGUGGCAGCGGUGGUUCAAUUUUAUAAUUGCUAGAUUCGAACCCACCUAGUAUCUGUAUUGCAUUGAUGGCAGCGACGCUACAGAAUUGAUGGCAGUGGUAAAUUGUUUUAUUGGUGUAACCGGUACCAGCAUGGCCCAACCUGAUGCGUCAGUCGCCGCUACUCCUUCGCCCGCCAUGUCUCCCCCCAGCCCGAAAUGAUGACGGACAGCGUCUCUACCGAUCAAGCUCCAUGUCCAAUUCCUGUGAUCUGCUGCUGCGCUCCAGCCAGUACUUCAAUGUCAGUUGUCCUCAUUGCGUCCGGAUAUCAACCGAGGCUGUUCACAAAUACAUACCUGUAUAUGCAAGUAAUCCAUUCUGCCUAUCUUCUUCCGUCAAGGUUAUUCCGGCGCGACCAUGCAUAUGCCGCCAAAGUCUUCUAAUCUCAGUCGAUUGUCGGAGUCCGGCUAUCAACUAAUCUUACUCGCCCAGUCUAGUCUGCGCAUCUCCAUGAUCUUCUAUCAGUGUUCGUCACUUCGUGUUCUGCUACUCGGACUCUAAUCACGAGGACGUGAUUGUGUUUAAAGAAGGAAGGUGUAGCGUUGGCUCGCUAGUAACUCACACAGGUGCAGCGUGAAUCACUUUCAAUGUAUUGGUCACGCGUGUUACACCGCACCCGUACCCCGCACUUGCAACUCUGUACCGUGCUUGCAGAUCCAUGACAUGGAUAUCAACUAGUCUCACCGCGUUCAAUGUUUCAUAUUGACCUUAGAAAUACUAGUCUAGACCUUUUGCUGCACUUUCAACCACCUCUUUACACCCAUUGCCCAUACUGCUAUUCAGCUCCUUCUGCAUAGAAUCAAAUGGCAUUCCUUGUGCAAUGACUGUAGCCCACACAUCUACUUUGACCUUUCUUCUUCUCUCUGCUGAGCUUUGCCGUGACCAUUGCUGUUGCAGCACGUAUGCUGUCUGCCUAUAAAAGCUGCUGUUCACAAUUCUCUA